UGUUAAUAGUCAUACUCAUUUGACGUUAGCUGCAGAAGAAGCACCGGCUAACUCCGUGCCAGCAGCCGCGGUAAUACGGAGGGUGCGAGCGUUAAUCGGAAUUACUGGGCGUAAAGCGCAUGCAGGUGGUUUGUUAAGUCAGAUGUGAAAGCCCGGGGCUCAACCUCGGAAUUGCAUUUGAAACUGGCAAACUAGAGUACUGUAGAGGGGGUAGAAUUUCAGGUGUAGCGGUGAAAUGCGUAGAGAUCUGAAGGAAUACCGGUGGCGAAGGCGGCCCCCUCGGACAGAUACUGACACUCAGAUGCGAAAGCGUGGGGAGCAAACAGGAUUAGAUACCCUGGUAG
Molecule: ribosomal RNA, 344 nt
Filed under: uncultured bacterium
Lineage: Bacteria
Description: bacterial SSU rRNA
Rfam family: Bacterial small subunit ribosomal RNA
Source: RNAcentral